UUCUUCAUUCCUAAGAAAGUAACCAUAGUACACACAAGAAGACAAGUAACUGCCCUAGAUUGCAAAUACUGGGGUGGACCCUUUUCUUAAUGUCCAGUGUCCUUUGUCUAAAGAUUUGGUACAAUAUGU
Small nucleolar RNA from Cervus hanglu yarkandensis (Yarkand deer), 129 nucleotides. NCBI's taxonomy places the organism in Eukaryota, Metazoa, Chordata, Mammalia, Artiodactyla, Cervidae. The record is from Ensembl.